GCGUUUGUGUGAGUGUGCAUGAGGGUAUGAGUGUGUGUGUAUGUAUGAGCUCUGUGACCUACCGUGAAUAAAGUCCCGGGAGGGGUGUGUGCGUGCAUGCGUAUGUGUGCGUGCUUGUGUGUAUGUAUGUAUGUACUAGCGCGCUGUGAUCCACCGUGAAUAAAGUCCGGGUGUAUGUAAGCGAGCAUGGGAGUGUGUGUGUGGAGGGUUCUGCGUGCAUACGUUUGUGUGUACUAGCGCGUUGUGAUCCACUGUGACUAAAGUCCGGAUCUGUGUGUGUGUGUGUGUGUGUGUGUACGUGUGUGUGCUUAUGGGUGAGUGCGUGUUAAGUUGAAAUUGCAAGUUUGCCGAGUGCUACCUUGGAACAUCAGAAGAAGAAAUGGACGAUAGCUGAAUAAAGAACGUUCCUCCUCCUAGAUUAAGGAUCAGUCCUUUAGAAAAGGCAUUUUCUACAACUUCCAAGAAGAUCAAAAAACAACCUACCCAAGAUAACUAUAGACAAUAGGACCCCUUUGGGUCUCCUCCAGCACACUGAUAAACUUAAGAAUGAAAUAAUGAAAAGAAGAUUGAAAGAAUCGCUAUUUUUACCCGUAAUGGAAAUCCAAGUCUAUCAUGAUGGUCAGGAAAACAAGCCAAGUCACAGCUACCUUAACAGAUGGUUAUGAUUCACAGCAUCUUUGGAUUUCAUGCCACUGACCUCAUCAAUUUGGCCACUUAGAGAUGGACGGAUGGUGGGAUCCACCAGACACAGAGAUGCUCAGAUACUCAGAUGGAAAUUCAAAUUGGUUUGAAGAUUCAGAAUUAUUUUGAUAUUGCAUCGUUUUCACAGCAACAUGCUGAAAAGCCUGCUAUAGAAAUGCUUUGACCUUUGAAGUAUUGCAUGAUAUCAAUUCAGAUUAUCUUAUAUGUCCCUUUUUUUUGGGGGGGGUAAGUUCCAGAUGGGAAUAUUGGGUUCAAUUGACCUCCAUUCUGGAGCUUAUUUCAGCAAGAAAAUAAUCAUUAAAGUCCUCAUAUAUUUCCCAAGGUGGACAGCUGAGCUCGGCUAAUCUUGAAUAGUUUAUCAAUGACUUUCAUAUUUGUUCUUUUCUUUCUUGAUUUUUUCUUCUGCCUCCUUAGGAGAUCAAAAUAGACAUUAACCUUUGGGGUAUUUUUUUUUUCAGUAAGAGUUUACUUUUAGGACUCCCUUCCUCCUUUUUUGAGGCAGAGAAGAUGGGACCAAUUUUGGUAAAAUAUUUUAAAAAUGUCCUUUAGCCUGUUUAUGAACAAUCCUCACAAAAAUGGGCCCUUCAUGUGAGAACGAACAAAGCAAAUGUACAUCAGCUUCCACCCCUCCUAACAUUUUCUCACAUGUAAUCUUGUUUCUCUUCUUUCAGACACAAGCUGUUUUACAGGAUGGCAAGCAUCCAGAUGAAACUGCAAAAUUCAGUUGAUUCUCCAAAUCUUGUGUUUCUGAAUAUAUUCUCAUUCAAAUCUAAAAGAAAAUCUUUAGGAAAUGUCCAGAUUUUUAUUUGCCCACUUUCUGGGUUGGGUAGAUGGGAAGAAUGAUCUAGACCCUUUCCCUUUUCCAGAGGGACCACUUAGAACCACUCUCAGAACUGAAGAAAAAUGAAACUAUAUUGUUUUUAUGGAACUCUUUUAAAAGAUAAACCAGGAUGCACUGAAUAUGUAUUGAAAAUGUAUCAGAGAAAGAAAAAGGCAGCAACAGUAACACACACACACAUAUGCACACACACAACCCAACAACCCAGUAUUUUCUUUUUUCAGUUUCUUUGGAUCAUGGCUUUCUUGAAAGUGGUCUGCACUCCCUUAGGGAGAUCAUCCAACCCAUAGCUUGAGUCACAGGGCUUUUUGUAGCUUUGAGCUGUGGGAAUGAAUCAAAACCAGUGCCAGGAUGUUUAUAUGGCCAGAGCCUUUGUUUGGUUAGUGAAAUGAAAUCAGUAAAAUAAAGCAGGGAUAAUUAUCCAAAAAAUCACUGCAUUGAACAUCAGCCUGAAGAACCUGGUUGAUGUUGUUGUCAGGAGUUGGGGGGAGGCAAGAAGAGAAGGAGAGACUGCUGCAGAGAAUGUUAGCUGAACAAUGUGGGGAGAGGCAAUAGCUCUAGUAGACGGUGUUGAAAAAGACCUUAGUAUUUUAUAUAGUCACACACAGGUACCUUUAUGCAGAAAUAGCAGAAAAAAAUGGAUGAUGGAACACUGGACUUUAAGUUAGGAAGAUCAAUUCAAAUCCUCCCUCUGAAAUUUAGUAGUUAUUUUAUCCUGGGCAAGUUACUUAAAAUUUGUGUUCAUGGAAAGAAUUCCCACAAUAGCAGUUCCUUCAUUGAUCAAAUCAAAGUUCCUUCAUGUAUUUUGUAAAAUAUGAAAAUACACGAUGACACUAUUAGGGCAAAGAUAAAAAUGAGAGGAAAAAAUUGUAGAAUGAAAACAAUCCAGCCUAGAGUUAAAUAAGUUAUUACAAUUUUUUUAAAUGGACAACAGAGAAAAGAAAGGUCAUUGGUAUAGAUUAAAAUUUCACACAGAAAUUAAACUGAUGUAAAUUGAUUCCCAUAACAAGGAGAACCAAAGGCUAAAAAAUUCCUCAAUCUGAAAAAUCAGCAAAUACUUGACUUACUUGCCAGGUAGACAGAAAUAGCAGCCAAAGGCAACACCAGUUUUGAAUAUAAACUCAUAUAUGGAGUCUUAAAGAGGAAGAUUCUGAGUAGUAUCAUCUCACAAAGCAGAGUGAAACAAAGGAGGGUAAAGCUAGUUAAUAGUUUAGCAGGAACUUGAACUAAGACAUUUAUGCAUGAAAAUUCAAAGAUAAUAAAGAGAAAAUAAAAUGUAAAAGAUCUGCAAAGAUUUUCAUAACAAACUAUGGUCACUGUCAAAGAUAAUAAAGCAUUAUGCUUUAUCUCUGACCUUACCCCCAAAGGCUAGAAUUAUGUUUAAAGGCUGCAUUGUAUUUAUAGAGACAGCAGAAAUGACACCAAUGAGAAAGGCAAGAAGAGUAGCUGGAUUAGAUUUUGUAUAUAGAGAAGAAUAGUGAGGGUACUAAUGGAAAAAUUCACAAAGUAUUUGAAGGAGGGAGAAUGCUAAUAAUAUCACAAGAAAUGGAUAUUAUUAAUGGUGAAACAAGAGUACCUAAAGAACAUCAACAACUUCUAACCUGUACGUUUCAUUUUUCUCAACAUAAAAUUUUUACAAGUCAUCAACACAUGGAUGAAAGAUUUCUUUGAUGAUAGUAUUAUCAGGGACCAAUAUCAGGGACCACAACAAACCAUAUCUUUAUCAUCACACAAUUAAUUUAAGAGGAUUUGUUGCAGAUAAAAUCUUUCAGUUAACAAAUAUUUUUAAGGUGCCUACCAUGUUCCAGACACUAUUCUAAGUGCUAGGGAUACAAAGACAAAAAAAAAAUUCCUUAUCUCAAAGAAUUUGUACUCUAUCUAUAGUUUAACUAUGGGGUUCCACUGUAAUUAUUAUUUGUUGGUUAUGAAAAAAAAAUGACCAUGAAAGUUGUAUUCCAAAAAAGGGUUUCCCAUCCACACUUCAAAAUUAUUCAUUAUUUCUUGAAAUAUAUAACAGCAGAGAUAAUCAUGUUAAACAACCUUCUGAUAAUAAAUAUCAGGUAAGACAUAAAAUAAGGAGGUAGUUGUUUGCCGUUGUGUUGGAUGAGAUCCAUCACAGAGGAGAAAUUGAGAAGGGAGUUCUUGUUUAUGAUGAGAUUCUUUAGAUGCAUAUAUUUGUGGAAGAUCUGUUGUUUACUUCAGAUUUACAAGAAGUCCUGAAAGAAACCUGAAAAAUUUAAAAGUAUUUGGUCUGACCAUCUGCACAGGGCAAAUUAAAUGGAUAGAAACCCUUUAUUGUGCAGAUUGUGACAUAACCUGGGAAUGGAAGAACUAAAGUAAAAGUUGUUAUUAGAGAAAUAGAUGAUUAGAAAAGAACUUGUACCAGUUAUGGAGUGAGAAUAAAGGACAGCAAACGGACAGCCAAAGACCUCUGUUGUUGUACUUACCAUGUCAGGAGAAAGCAAAGACAUUCCCCUGGCAAGUUGGGAAAACUUAUGGAAGGUCAUGAAGGAGAGCAGCAUAUAUUGGAGUCAUGAAUGAAUUUUGAUGGACAUUAUUAGAAGAAACAUCCAAAAUGAUGGGAUAUAAAUCCCCUUUAGUGUUUGAGUGCAUACAUUCAGUCAAUUGGGAAUAUCCUUAUCCCUUCCACUUCUCUUUUUUCCCCCUGCCAACUCCACCAUACAUACAACUUCCCCACUUUCAGGCAGGAAGCCCUUGGUCUGGAGUCAAGAAAAUAUGAAUUAAACUGGCCUUAGACACUUGCUAGUUGCCUGACCCAUGUCAAGUCACUUAACUUCUGCUUGCGUUAGUUUCCUCAUCUGUAAAAUGGGAAUAGAAAUAACACUUAUUCCUAGGGUUGUGAGGUUCAAAUGAAAUAGUUUAAAAUGCUUAGAACAAGGUCAGGUGCAUCGUAGAAAUUUUUUAAAAUGCUUAUUCCCUUCCCUGUCAAAGCAAGCCAAGAGAUACCCUUAUUCAUAAAAUCAUAAAACCUUAGAGUUUUAGAACUGGAAGGAAACCUAGGUACCACCUAGUUCAUUAUCCUCACCUGUAAAAACAACAAGACAAGAAUGGUCCUUUUAUGAUUAAUUUCCCCUUCAAUACUGCCAAUGCAAUUUAUUUUUAGCUUAUUUUACUUGUCCAGACUUUUUCAGGGGAAGGGGAGGGCCAUUGAAUGUAGUUUUCUCCAGGUAUAUCUUGUGACAGUAUUAAUUUCAGUGUAAGUUACUGAAUUCUACACAUCAGACAGAAUUAAUCUAUUUGCUAUUCCCUAAAGUGGCUGACCACCAUGCCUUGAAUAUUUCCAUCUUCACCUCUGCAGGUAGAUAGAUAGAUAGAUAGAUAGAUAGAUGGAUAGAUGGAUGGAUGAAUGGGUGGAUGGAUGGAUGGGUGGGUAGAUGGAUGAAUGAAUGGAUGGAUGGAUGGGAAGAUGGUUCCGGGAGCCAUCAAAGACCAUGCUGUUUGACAUGGUCACACAUGGAAACUGGGGACUAGAUGGAAGCAUCCACUGGAACCCCUCUAAGUGACUUUCCUUAUUAACAUCCCCUUAUUAUUGGAAUUUCUAUGAUUAUUAUUCUUACUUAGCCCCAGGAAAAAUAGAUGAGAACAACAUGCUUGCAGGGUUAAUACAGAUGUCCCACUCUGUCCUCCCAAAAUAUUACCAGGAGAUUCCAUUUACAAAAUCAAACCUAAGGAAUCUUAUAUACCCAUUUAGAUAGGACCCUCUUUUCUAGGCAUAAAAACUUCUGGCAAAUCUGUGCCCUGAAUUCCCCAACCUAUAUCUGGGUCAUGUUGAUUCUACCUUCUGACCAUGCAUUUAGCAAUAAUGCUUUGUUGACUAUCACCUUAGGCUUCACAUCUGUUGUUAUGUUCUAUGGAAUGUGUAUGUUGAGAAUGAGAUUGUGUGCCAGAAAAGUAUGUACUCAUUGAAACUAUAAAAUAAAUGCAAACCCUAUGCAAUGGCAGAAGAACUGUGUGAUACCUAAGCACAGGUCUGAGCACUCAGCUGUCUCUCACCUCUUCAUUAUUCACCUGACUGCUCCAUCUAGUCAGAAGGACCCUCCUCUGAGAGACUGUGGGCUUGGCUCUCAAAAGAUGGAUGGAUGGAUGUAUAGAUAGAUAGAUGAAUAGAUGGAUGGAUGGGUGAAUGGAUAGACAGAAAGCCAGACAGCUAGAUAGAGAGAGAAAGAAAAAGAAAGGAAGGAAAGAAGGAAGGAAGGAAGGAAGGAAGGAAGGAAGGAAGGAAGGAAGGAAGGAAGGAAGGAAGGAAGGAAGAAAAGAAAGAAGGAUGGUUAAGUAGAUGGAUAUGUAAUACACAUAGAUAUAUCAAACUCAAAUAGAAAUGAGACAAUUAACCCAUAUAUAAGCAUCCCUGGGUCCAUAUCAUGAUAGAAGUCACAUAUCACAAUACAAUAGAAAUCUCACAAAGGAAACAUAGUGGAAGAGAAUAUGCUUUGCUCUGCACUCAUAUUCCAAUAGUUCCUUCUUUGGCUAUGGAUAGCAUUUUCUUCAUGAGUCCCUUAUGAUUAUCUUGGUGACUUGUUUUUUUUUUAAACCCUUACCUUCUGUCUUGGAGUCAAUACUGUGUAUUGGCUCCAAGGCAGAAGAGUGGUAAGGGCUAGGCAAUGGGGGUCAAGUGACUUGCCCAGGGUCACACAGCUAGGAAGUGGCUGAGGCCGGAUUUGAACCUAGGACCUCCCGUCUCUAGGCCUGGUUCUCAAUCCACUGAGCUACCCAGCUGCCCCCUUGGUGACUUGUUUUGCUGAUUAUGGCUUAAUCCUUCACAGUUGAUCAUUGUAUAAUAUUUCUUUUACUGUAUACAUUGUUCUUCUGGUUCUGCUCACUUCACUUUACAUCAGUUAAUAAUUUUCUGAACUAAUCCUGUUCAUUAUUUCUUGUGGCACAAUAGUAUUCCAUUGCAACCAUAUAGCACUUUUUCAUCUAUUCUCCUAGUUAUAGACAACCCCUCAAUUUCCAGUUCUUUGUCACUACAAAAAGAGCUGCUAAAAAUAUUUUGGUUUAGGUAUGCCCUUUUCCCUUCUCUCUGAUCUCUUUGGGAUUCAGACCCCUUUUUGACUCUUUGAACCUGGUUUUAUAUUGCUCUCCAGAAUGCUUGUAUUAGUUCACAGUUUCAUAAACAGUGUAUUCAGGUCCCAAUUUUCCCAUAUCUCUCCUAAUAUUUAUCGUUUUCCUUUUUUGGUCAUGUGAAGUAAUCUGGUAGAUGAGAAAUAGUAUCUCAGAGUAGUUUUAAUUUGCAUUUUUUCUAAUCAGUAGUGAUUUGGAGCAUCUUUUCAUAAGACUAUGGAUAGUUUUAAUUUCUUCCUUUAACAAUUGCUUGUUUAUAUCCUUUUGACCAUUUUUCAGUUGUAGAAUGCUUUUUUAUUUUUAUAAACUUGACUCAGUUCUCUGUAUAUUUGAGAGAUGAGUCUUUUGUCAGAAAUACUUACUAUUAGAGGUCCCACCCAGAUUUGUUGUUUCCCUUCAAAUCUUGGUCGCAUUGGUUUUAUUUAUAGAAAACCUUUUUAAUUUAUGUAAUCAAAAUUAUGUUUCCUUUUUUAUAAUGUCUUCUAUGUCUUGCUUAGUCAUAAAUUUUUCCUGUAUGCAUAAGUCCAACAAGUAAAUUUUUUCAUGUUCCCCUAA
Monodelphis domestica (gray short-tailed opossum) is the source of this 7177-nucleotide long non-coding RNA. RefSeq lists it as uncharacterized. The record is from RefSeq and is a predicted model, not a curated record. Lineage: Eukaryota; Metazoa; Chordata; Mammalia; Didelphimorphia; Didelphidae.